CCCAGCGGCUUUGUUUAGCUACUUAAGCCUCAGCAAUGGUGGGCGCCACUCCCCCAGCCUCACUGCUGCCUUGUGGUUAGAUCGUAGACUGCUGUGCUAGCAAUGAGGGAGGCUCUGUGGGCGUGGGACCCUCCCAGCCAGUUGUGGGAUAUAAUCUCCUGGUGUGCCCGUUUGCUUUAAGCGCAGUAUUGGGGUGAGAGUUACCUGAUUUUCCAGGUUUUGUGUGUCUGAGUUCCCCUGGCUAGGAAAAGGGAUUCCCUUCCCCCUUGUGCUUCCCAGGUGAGGUGAUGCCUCGCCCUGCUUCAGCUCUCGCUGGUCGGGCCGCAGCAGCUGACCAGCACCGAUUGUCCCGUACUCCCUAGUGAGAUGAACCCAGUACCUCAGUUGAAAAUGCAGAAAUCACCGAUCUUCUGUGUCACUCAUGCUGGGAGUUGGAGACUGGAGCUGUUCCUAUUCGGCCAUCUUGCUCCACCCCCCCGAAUGGAUUUUCUUGUCUCUAUCUUGUUCUGUUGGUUGAACUAGUUUACAAUCCCACCAACAGUGUAAAAGUGUUCCUAUUUCUCCACAUCUUCUCCAGCACCUGUUGUUUCCUGACUUUUUAAUGAUUACCAAUCCAACUGGUGUGAGAUGGUAUCUCAUUGUGGUUUUGAUUUGCAUUUCUCUGAUGGCCAGUGAUGAUGAACAUUUUUUCAUGUGUCUGUUGACUGUAUGAAUGUCUUCUUUUGAAAAAUGUCUGUUCAUAUCCUUUGCCCACUUUUUGAUGGGGUUGUUUGUUUUUUUCUUGUAAAUUUGUUUGAGUUCUUUGUAGGUUCUGGAUAUUAGCCCUUUGUCAGAUAAGUAGAUUGCAAAAAUGUUCUCCCAUUCUGUAGGUUGCCUGUUCACUCUGAUGGUAGUUUCUUUUGCUGUGCAGAAGUUCUUUAGUUUAAUGAGAUCCCAUUUGUCAAUUUUGGCUUUUGUUGCCGUUGCUUUUGGUGUUUAAGACAUGAAGUCCUUGCCCAUGCCUAUGUCCUCAAUGCUAUUACCUAGGUUUUCUUCUAGGGUUUUUAUGGUAUUAGGACUAACAUUUAAGUCUCUAAUCCAUCUUGAAUUAAUUUUUGUAUAAGGAGUAAGGAAAGGAUCCAGUUUCCGCUUUCUACUUAUGGCUAGCCAAUUUCCCA
Molecule: long non-coding RNA, 1157 nt
Filed under: Papio anubis (olive baboon)
Lineage: Eukaryota; Metazoa; Chordata; Mammalia; Primates; Cercopithecidae
Description: lncRNA (ENSPANG00000036321.2)
Source: RNAcentral